UACAGAGGGUGCGAGCGUUAAUCGGAAUUACUGGGCGUAAAGGGCGCGUAGGCGGUGAGAUGAGUGUGGUGUGAAAGCCCCGGGCUUAACCUGGGAACUGCGCUUCUAACUGGCAGGCUUGAGUGUGGCAGAGGGGGGUGGAAUUCCACGUGUAGCAGUGAAAUACGUAGAGAUGUGGAGGAACACCGAUGGCGAAGGCAGCCCCCUGGGCUAACACUGACGCUCAUGCACGAAAGCGUGGGGAGCAAACAGG
This 253-nucleotide ribosomal RNA is filed under the name uncultured bacterium. RNAcentral describes it as "partial 16S ribosomal RNA". It matches the Rfam family "Bacterial small subunit ribosomal RNA", at positions 524 to 776 of the family's 1533-position model. The record is from RNAcentral.